Molecule: ribosomal RNA, 695 nt
Filed under: Curtobacterium flaccumfaciens
Lineage: Bacteria; Bacillati; Actinomycetota; Actinomycetes; Micrococcales; Microbacteriaceae
Description: bacterial SSU rRNA
Rfam family: Bacterial small subunit ribosomal RNA
Source: RNAcentral
AUGGCUCAGGACGAACGCUGGCGGCGUGCUUAACACAUGCAAGUCGAACGAUGAUGCCCAGCUUGCUGGGUGGAUUAGUGGCGAACGGGUGAGUAACACGUGAGUAACCUGCCCCUGACUCUGGGAUAAGCGUUGGAAACGACGUCUAAUACUGGAUAUGAUCACUGGCCGCAUGGUCUGGUGGUGGAAAGAUUUUUUGGUUGGGGAUGGACUCGCGGCCUAUCAGCUUGUUGGUGAGGUAAUGGCUCACCAAGGCGACGACGGGUAGCCGGCCUGAGAGGGUGACCGGCCACACUGGGACUGAGACACGGCCCAGACUCCUACGGGAGGCAGCAGUGGGGAAUAUUGCACAAUGGGCGAAAGCCUGAUGCAGCAACGCCGCGUGAGGGAUGACGGCCUUCGGGUUGUAAACCUCUUUUAGUAGGGAAGAAGCGAAAGUGACGGUACCUGCAGAAAAAGCACCGGCUAACUACGUGCCAGCAGCCGCGGUAAUACGUAGGGUGCAAGCGUUGUCCGGAAUUAUUGGGCGUAAAGAGCUCGUAGGCGGUUUGUCGCGUCUGCUGUGAAAUCCCGAGGCUCAACCUCGGGCUUGCAGUGGGUACGGGCAGACUAGAGUGCGGUAGGGGAGAUUGGAAUUCCUGGUGUAGCGGUGGAAUGCGCAGAUAUCAGGAGGAACACCGAUGGCGAAGGCAGAU